AAUUCUCUCCAUGGGGCUGCUAUAAGCUCAAAAAGAUGGCUUUACAGAAGUUUGUUUUAAAUGGUGAGAUAGUGGCCGACGGCUAGGAAGAAGGUGGUUAGCUUCCAUAGUUUUUUAAAUGGUGAGAUAGUGGCCAACGGCUAGGAAGAAGAUGGUUAGCUUCCAAAAUUUUUUACUGAGUUAAAUCUAUGAUUGUAGUUCCAAAUGUUUGAGUGCAAAGAUUAAGGCAGAAUUUUUAAAAUCAAGAUCAAGAUUGUAGCUGCUAAUUUUUGUUAAGAAAUUUGAUUUUGUUUCAUGUAGUUCAAGUGCAAUAAAGAGCAUAAUUGGUGUAUGUAAAUAAUUUGAAUAGGAUGGCAUGAAAUUGAUAGAGGCAUAAAUCAAGUGCACGAAACUUCUUAAUUUCCUCUAAGGGUUAGUGUAGAUAUUUCCAAUAACACUUACCAUAGAUAUUCUAUGCAAAUCCAUAUGCAAGAAAUGUUAAAUCUAGCAACCAAAAUUACCAAUUAUGUUACAAUCAUCACUUUUAAAUAGAUUGCUAUAAUGUAAAUAUAUAAAUUUGAUUUUGUGCAUGGAAGGAGUUUCAUCUUCAUCAUAAAUUGUAGAGGGAUUUUCCCAAUAAAUUUACCCCAAGAAACAAGCUAUUGAUGUUUUCCCCA
RNAcentral lists this long non-coding RNA (656 nucleotides) under Carica papaya (papaya). Its description in RNAcentral is "long non-coding RNA (CPAP_LNC015249)". Lineage: Eukaryota; Viridiplantae; Streptophyta; Magnoliopsida; Brassicales; Caricaceae. The record is from RNAcentral.